Molecule: ribosomal RNA, 468 nt
Filed under: uncultured bacterium
Lineage: Bacteria
Description: partial 16S ribosomal RNA
Rfam family: Bacterial small subunit ribosomal RNA
Source: RNAcentral
GACGAACGCUGGCGGCGUGCUUAACACAUGCAAGUCGAACGGAAAGGCCCUGCUUUUGUGGGGUGCUCGCGUGGCGAACGGGUGAGUAACACGUGAGUAACCUGCCCUUGACUUUGGGAUAACUUCAGGCAACUGGGGCUAAUACCGGAUAGGAGCUCCUGCUGCAUGGUGGGGGUUGGAAAGUUUCGGCGGUUGGGGAUGGACUCGCGGCUUAUCAGCUUGUUGGUGGGGGAGUGGCUUACCAAGGCUUUGACGGGUAGCCGGCCUGAGAGGGUGAACGGCCACAUUGGGACUGAGAUACGGCCCAGACUCCUACGGGAGGCAGCAGUGGGGAAUAUUGCACAAUGGGCGGAAGCCUGAUGCAGCAACGCCGCGUGCGGGAUGACGGCCUUCGGGUUGUAAACCGCUUUCGCCUGUGACGAAGCGUGAGUGACGGUAAUGGGUAAAGAAGCACCGGCUAACUACGUG